RNAcentral lists this ribosomal RNA (301 nucleotides) under uncultured bacterium. RNAcentral describes it as "partial 16S ribosomal RNA". It matches the Rfam family "Bacterial small subunit ribosomal RNA", at positions 509 to 807 of the family's 1533-position model. The record is from RNAcentral.
CAGCAGCCGCGGUAAUACGAAGGGUGCAAGCGUUAAUCGGAAUUACUGGGCGUAAAGCGUGCGUAGGUGGUGGUUUAAGUCCGUUGUGAAAGCCCUGGGCUCAACCUGGGAAUUGCAGUGGAUACUGGGUCACUAGAAUGUGGUAGAGGAUAGUGGAAUUCCCGGUGUAGCGGUGAAAUGCGUAGAGAUCGGGAGGAACAUCAGUGGCGAAGGCGGCCAUCUGGGACAACACUGACGCUGAGGCACGAAAGCGUGGGGAGCAAACAGGAUUAGAUACCCGGGUAGUCCCUGUCUCUUAUAC